GUGGGGAAUUUUGGACAAUGGGCGCAAGCCUGAUCCAGCAAUGUCGCGUGUGUGAAGAAGGCCUUCGGGUUGUAAAGCACUUUUGGCAGGAAAGAAAUAGCGCGUGCUAAUACCAUGCGCGAAUGACGGUACCUGCAGAAUAAGCACCGGCUAACUACGUGCCAGCAGCCGCGGUAAGACGUAGGGUGCAAGCGUUAAUCGGAAUUACUGGGCGUAAAGCGUGCGCAGGCGGUUUUGUAAGACAGGUGUGAAAUCCCCGGGCUCAACCUGGGAACUGCACUUGUGACUGCAAGGCUAGAGUGUGUCAGAGGGAGGUGGAAUUCCGCGUGUAGCAGUGAAAUGCGUAGAGAUGCGGAGGAACACCGAUGGCGAAGGCAGCCUCCUGGGAUAACACUGACGCUCAGGCACGAAAGCGUGGGGAGCAAACAGGAUUAGAAACCCGGGUAGUCC
RNAcentral lists this ribosomal RNA (450 nucleotides) under uncultured bacterium. RNAcentral's name for it is "partial 16S ribosomal RNA". It matches the Rfam family "Bacterial small subunit ribosomal RNA", at positions 354 to 796 of the family's 1533-position model. The record is from RNAcentral.